Molecule: unclassified non-coding RNA, 169 nt
Filed under: soil metagenome
Description: partial contains 5.8S ribosomal RNA, internal transcribed spacer 2, and large subunit ribosomal RNA
Source: RNAcentral
AACCUAGCACACCUGCGGUGUGUACCUGCGGAAGGAUCAUAACUGGUUAAACUUUAUAAACACCAGAGUUUCAAACUCUGUGUUUGCAAACAAAAAACACCCUUCAAAACAGCUAUUCAGUGUCUGAAUUAACUAGUUUAAUAUAAAAACAACUUUCAACAACGGAUCU